Molecule: ribosomal RNA, 529 nt
Filed under: uncultured bacterium
Lineage: Bacteria
Description: bacterial SSU rRNA
Rfam family: Bacterial small subunit ribosomal RNA
Source: RNAcentral
AAUAGAUACCCGGGUAGUCCACGCCGUAAACGAUGAGUGCUAAGUGUUAGAGGGUUUCCGCCCUUUAGUGCUGCAGCUAACGCAUUAAGCACUCCGCCUGGGGAGUACGGUCGCAAGACUGAAACUCAAAGGAAUUGACGGGGGCCCGCACAAGCGGUGGAGCAUGUGGUUUAAUUCGAAGCAACGCGAAGAACCUUACCAGGUCUUGACAUCCCACUGACCGGUAUAGAGAUAUACCUUUCCCUUCGGGGACAGUGGUGACAGGUGGUGCAUAGUUGUCGUCAGCUCGUGUCGUGAGAUGUUGGGUUAAGUCCCGCAACGAGCGCAACCCUUGAUCUUAGUUGCCAGCAUUUAGUUGGGCACUCUAAGGUGACUGCCGGUGACAAACCGGAGGAAGGUGGGGAUGACGUCAAAUCAUCAUGCCCCUUAUGACCUGGGCUACACACGUGCUACAAUGGAUGGUACAAAGGGCUGCAAGACUGCGAAGUCAAGCCAAUCCCAUAAAACCAUUCUCAGUUCGGAUUGCAGG